Molecule: unclassified non-coding RNA, 27 nt
Filed under: Dictyostelium discoideum
Lineage: Eukaryota; Evosea; Eumycetozoa; Dictyosteliales; Dictyosteliaceae
Source: RNAcentral
CUGAAAUUCAGUUUCUGACAUAGCGCU